This is a long non-coding RNA of Callithrix jacchus (white-tufted-ear marmoset), 1787 nucleotides long. Lineage: Eukaryota; Metazoa; Chordata; Mammalia; Primates; Cebidae. The record is from Ensembl.
UUUCACUUAAGCCUUAUAAUGACCAGAUGAGAUAUGUAUGAAUUAUUAUCCUCAUUCUUCUUUCAGAUGAGAUAUAAUAAAAUGAGAAAAAUGAAACUUCAGGAGGUUAUGUAAAUAUCUCAAGGUCACACAUGAGCAGUGGCAGAUCCAUAGAAAGAAUCGGAUUAUCUGAGUCCACCAUGACCACCAAGCUUUACAUACAGUAUGGCAAGCUGCUCAGUAUAACUCCACAGGAAAGAAACAAUUAAGCCUGGGUCCUCUGGGGAUAUCGAGGAAGGUUGAGAAUAUCAGAGGGAUGCACAGACAUGGACCAAACGCGGUUAAGCUGUAAGAGCAGGAGGUACAGCAUAAACAAGGACAUGGAGGCAUGAAUAUGGUGAAAUUUGGGCAGUACCUAUGGUGAAAGCAUAGGGCAUAUGUGAAAGAUGAGUUUAGGGAGGCAGGAAGGGCAUUUGUUUGCCACACUGAGUUUGUUCUUCUUUUAGACGUAUAAGAUUUUAGAUUAUGCAAUACCCAAGUAGAGGAUAAUGCUUUUCAUAUAUAUAUAUGUGUGUGUAUUAUAUAUGUGAUAUAUAUAUAUAUAUGUGUAAUAUCUCUAUCUAUCUGUCUUUUAGUAGGAUUCACUGCUCCUGGUAAAGAUAUUUUCAAGGCAGUGAUCUCUCCAACCAGCAAAACCACUGAGCAUCAAGCUAAAAUCAGAAUUAUAAGAAGCAACAUUACAACUGAUGCCACAGAAAUGGAAAUUAUUAUAAGAGAAAAAAUUCAACAGUUGUAUCCCAACAGAUUGAAUAACCUAGAUGAAAUAAAUAAAUGCCUAGAAACAUACACCUUACCAAGACUGAAUCAUGGAGAAACAGAAACAUCUGAAGAGACCUAAAAGUAGUAAGGAGAUUGGAUGAGUGAUUAAAAAUCCUCCCAUUGCAACAACAAAGCCCAGAACCAGAUGACUUCAAUGGUGAAUUCUACCAAAUGUUUUAAAAAGAAUUAAUACCAAUCUUCUUCAUCUUCCAAAACAUUGAAGCAGAGGUAACAUUUUCAAACUCAUUCCAUGAGGCCAGAUUUAACCUGUUACCAAAGACGGAUCAAGACUAUGCAAGAAAACUAAAGACCAGUAAUCCCAAUGAAUAUUGAUGCAACAAUUCCCAACAAAAUACUAGCAAACCAAAUUUAAUAGCAUAUUAAAAUAAUUAUAAUCUAUGACCAAGUAGCAUUUUUUUCUGGAAUGUAAGAGUGAUUCAACAUACAAAAAUGAAUCAAUGUAACACCUCACAUUAAUGGAAGUUUUUCAAAAACAGAUUAUCAUCUCAAUUGUUACAAAAAAAUCAUUUGACAUAAUUCCACACCUUUGUAUGAUAAAAACACCCAACAAAUUAGGAAUAGAAGAAAACUACCUAAACAUAAUAAACGCCAUAUUUUUUAAAACCUGCAGCUAACAUCAUACACACUGGUAAAUGACUGAAAGCUUUUCUUCUAAUAUAUGGAAUAAGACAAGUAUGCCUACUUUCACCCCUUCUGUUUAACAUGGUUCUAGAAAUAUAGUCAAAUCAAUUAGGUAAGAAAAAGACAAAAGGCCUUCAAAUUAGAUGGAAGAAGUAAAAUUAUCUCUGAUCACCUGAUCACUGACAACAUGAUCUUAUAUGUGAGAAAACUUAAGAAUUCCACAUGCAAAAAGAGCUAUUUUAGCAAAGUUACAAAAUAUAAAAUAAAUGCACAAAAUUCAACUGAAUUUCUAUACACUAACAAUAAAUAAUUCUAAAAGAAAAUUAAGAAACCAAACUAAAGAAAAC